CUGGAACCUUGCUGAGAGGCGAGGGUGCCUUCGGAGCCAGAACACAGGUGCUGCAUGGCUGUCGUCAGCUCGUGUCGUGAGAUGUUGGGUUAAGUCCCGCAACGAGCGCAACCCUUGUCAUUAGUUGCCAUCAUUUAGUUGGGCACUCUAAUGAGACUGCCGGUGACAAACCGGAGGAAGGUGGGGAUGACGUCAAGUCCUUAUGGCCCUUAUAGGUGGGGCUACACACGUCAUACAAUGGCCGGUACAAAGGGUCGCAAACCCGCGAGGGGGAGCCAAUCCAUCAAAGCCGGUCGUAGUCCGGAUCGCAGUCUGCAACUCGACUGCGUGAAGUCGGAAUCGCUAGUAAUCGUGGAUCAGCAUGUCACGGUGAAUACGUUCCCGGGUCUU
This 390-nucleotide ribosomal RNA is filed under the name uncultured Hydrogenophaga sp. RNAcentral describes it as "bacterial SSU rRNA". It matches the Rfam family "Bacterial small subunit ribosomal RNA", at positions 990 to 1382 of the family's 1533-position model. Lineage: Bacteria; Pseudomonadati; Pseudomonadota; Betaproteobacteria; Burkholderiales; Comamonadaceae. The record is from RNAcentral.